UCUGUGGAUUAAAGGUGGCUUUUGGGCUGUCGCAGAUGGAUGAGCCUGCGUUGGAUUAGCUAGUUGGUGGGGUAAGGGCCUACCAAGGCUACGAUCCAUAGCUGAUUUGAGAGGAUGAUCAGCCACAUUGGGACUGAGACACGGCCCAAACUCCUACGGGAGGCAGCAGUGAGGAAUAUUGGACAAUGGGGGCAACCCUGAUCCAGCAAUGCCAUGUGUGUGAAGAAGGCCUUAGGGUUGUAAAGCACUUUAGUUGGGGAAGAAAGCUUUGAGGUUAAUAGCCUUGAGGAAGGACGUUACCCAAAGAAUAAGCACCGGCUAACUCCGUGCCAGCAGCCGCGGUAAUACGGGGGGUGCAAGCGUUAAUCGGAAUUACUGGGCGUAAAGAGUCUGUAGGUGGUUUGUUAAGUCAGAUGUGAAAGCCCAGGGCUCAACCUUGGAACUGCAUUUGAUACUGGCAAACUAGAGUACGGUAGAGGAAUGGGGAAUUUCUGGUGUAGCGGUGAAAUGCGUAGAGAUCAGAAGGAACACCAAUGGCGAAGGCAACAUUCUGGACCGAUACUGACACUGAGGGACGAAAGCGUGGGGAUCAAACAGGAUUAGAUACCCUGGUAGUCCACGCUGUAAACGAUGAGUACUAGCUGUUGGAGUCGGUGUAAAGGCUCUAGUGGCGCAGCUAACGCGAUAAGUACUCCGCCUGGGGACUACGGCCGCAAGGCUAAAACUCAAAGGAAUUGACGGGGACCCGCACAAGCGGUGGAGCAUGUGGUUUAAUUCGAUGCAACGCGAAGAACCUUACCUGGUCUUGACAUCCUGCGAACUUUCUAGAGAUAGAUUGGUGCCUUCGGGAACGCAGUG
RNAcentral lists this ribosomal RNA (858 nucleotides) under uncultured bacterium. RNAcentral describes it as "bacterial SSU rRNA". It matches the Rfam family "Bacterial small subunit ribosomal RNA", at positions 193 to 1033 of the family's 1533-position model. The record is from RNAcentral.